UCAAAGAGUUGUGUUUAUUUUCAUGACUAUGAAUAUCGUAGCUUCACACUAAACCCAUCAAAACUAUGAAUUAACACAUGUGGAAUUAUAUACUGAACAAAACAGUGUGAAACAACUGAAAAUAUGUCUUAUAUUCUAGGUUCUUCAAAGUAGCCACCUUUUGCUUUAGCAAUAAACAGGUAUAAACGACGUCAUCAUCACCACCAGGCUAUCCCCCAAACCACUGUCUCAUGCCUGGGCAGUGAGCGAUGACAGCAUGGGAUACACCGCAGGCACGGCCAAGUUUAGAUACUGCUUUGAUGGAACAACAGUUUGUCGCCUUCCUCAACUCCAUAGGCAUUGCCCUGGGAUUGAGGAGUACCACCCCUAUGCACCCCGAAUAAGCUAAUUAAUUUCUUAUGGUGCUGCUGAUCUUCGGCUGAUUAGCCUUACCUGGGAGGAGUACUUAGGAGCCAGCCACCAGUCCUUCAGCACCUGAGUGUUGUUGCCCUAGUGAAACCUGUGAGCUGUUGGCUGUUACCUACAGAGCUGGCCUUGGACAUUCUACACCUUCUACUGCUGUUUGUGAAUUUGGAUAAUUCCUCUCUGACUGUGGCACAGUUCCUAACCUUCCUAACACCUGCCUCUGUGAGAACUCUGGACCGAACAUUGGACAAGCUAUUUGGAUUGCCUGACUCCCAGGCCCAGUGGUAUGACCCUCCUGAAUUUCUCUGCUCAAGUGAUCAAUGGACCCGAAGAACCUUCCAACCCUCAUUCCAGUAGAACUCUCAUUGUGUGUUUAAAUAAACCUUUGAAACUUG
Girardinichthys multiradiatus is the source of this 800-nucleotide long non-coding RNA. RefSeq lists it as uncharacterized. The record is from RefSeq and is a predicted model, not a curated record. The transcript is spliced from 4 exons. Lineage: Eukaryota; Metazoa; Chordata; Actinopteri; Cyprinodontiformes; Goodeidae.